This 1591-nucleotide long non-coding RNA is filed under the name Takifugu rubripes (torafugu). RNAcentral describes it as "lncRNA (ENSTRUG00000031559.1)". Lineage: Eukaryota; Metazoa; Chordata; Actinopteri; Tetraodontiformes; Tetraodontidae. The record is from RNAcentral.
AUGUUCGUUUUUGGGUGCGGAAUCAAAUUGUGUCAACUUUUUGAUCUAUAUGUGGCAGGGCGUGGCCUGCCCUCCGAACAGGUGCCCUAUGGAGGUAGUGCCUUAAUUGGUGGGUGGGGAGAACAGGUUUAUAUAAGGCACUGCCUCCAGCUGGCUUUAGUUGUUUCCCCCCUUCGACGCUACGGCGGGGUUGCGGCUGAUCUGGGCGGUUCGACCAACAAACUGUUUCACAGCGCGAGCUGUCUGGCAGCGCCAGGAAGGUCGGUGCUUCCUCCCGCCAUCCUUCCGCCUAGAGCGCUGUGCCGUGAGGGCGCGCGCGCUAGUUGCACUGGGCAGUUUGCUGCCGCCUGGCGUCGGUGGGUCGCGUUGCCCCAGCGGGAACCCUUCACGGAGUGGUGGCGCCACCAAACACAGUCGGCACGGACUAUCUCGCUUACUGGACCCACGGCUGCUUUGGCUCGGUCCUUUGGUUCGGGAUUCUCUCCUGUUCUCUCUCCCUCUCCCCUCGCUCCCCUGGGCUCGGAGAAACGGCGCUGAGACGUGGUGGUGCCGCCGAGGCGACCACGGAGCUUUUGCCUAAAUUUUAGACUCUUGACAGUGUGUAAAUUGUAUCAAUUUAUAUUUACCUUUUUAGUGUUUGUUGCUUUUCGUUUCUUGGUUGACGUUGGGUUCUUUUAGACGACCUGGUCACCAUUUAUUUGCCUGUCUGUGUGAAGUCUGUGUGAAGUCUGUGUGAAGUCUGUGUGAAGUCUGUGUGAAGUCUGUGUGAAGUCUGUGUGAAGUCUGUGUGAAGUCUGUGUGAAGUCUGUGUGAAGUCUGUGUGAAGUGUGCGCUCGUCGCGUCUGAUUGUUUAUCAUUGUAAAUGUAAUUGUUCUCUUUUCUUUGGACAGGUGCUGCGGGCCACGGCGGGGACCCAACCCCUGGUGGAGGGCGUUUUCAUCACCCCCCUCGUGUGUAGUUUUGUUUGCAGUAGCACGGGUGUUGUUAGUUUGUUUAUCUCCCCUGAUUGAGUUUUACCUGCCGGUGGGGCCCCAGCCCUGUCCACCCCUUUUGUUUGACUUUGUACAGCCGAGUUAUUUUUUUGUUGAGUUGGAUUUAAUAAAAUUGUAGUGCAUAACCCUCAAUCCUGUCUCUGCCUCUGGAACAGAACCUUAUCUGCGCGUGCCUGUUCUCCGGUUAAUUCCUGGGGUGAAACUCCCCAGGUGGCGUUGUCGUUAACGUUCCACCUCUCCCCACCCCGCUACAUAUAGGAUCCCCUCUGGUUCAAAGUGUCCCUAUAGGAUAUUGACAGUUCUGACCUUUUGGGGGCUGCACACACCUCUUAAUGGUGACGGCACCAACGGAGCUGAUCCAGUUGUCAUCAGCUGGCCAGUCUGACUCCAGCUCAUUAGGGGAAAUUUGCUGAUCUGGAGGAGAAGCUUUCAAAACUUGACGGGCUGGGGGGGAAAUGACUGUAAUUUUGGAAUCAGCGUGCCAAUUUUAUUUUUAAUCAGAAUAAUUUAGAAUAAUUUCAACAGGAUAUUUUCAAAUUGUUCCCCAGUGGAGCUGCCAACUGAAUAUGGUGACCUGCUGCUUCCUUUUUUGUCCCUUU